This 490-nucleotide ribosomal RNA is filed under the name uncultured bacterium. Its description in RNAcentral is "bacterial SSU rRNA". It matches the Rfam family "Bacterial small subunit ribosomal RNA", at positions 30 to 518 of the family's 1533-position model. The record is from RNAcentral.
AUUGAACGCUGGCGGCAUGCCUUACACAUGCAAGUCGAACGGUAACAGCACUUCGGUGGCUGACGAGUGGCGAACGGGUGAGUAAUACAUCGGAACGUGCCCGAGAGUGGGGGAUAACGCAGCGAAAGCUGUGCUAAUACCGCAUACGAUCUACGGAUGAAAGCAGGGGACCGCAAGGCCUUGCGCUCAUGGAGCGGCCGAUGGCAGAUUAGGUAGUUGGUGGGAUAAAAGCUUACCAAGCCGACGAUCUGUAGCUGGUCUGAGAGGACGACCAGCCACACUGGGACUGAGACACGGCCCAGACUCCUACGGGAGGCAGCAGUGGGGAAUUUUGGACAAUGGGCGAAAGCCUGAUCCAGCCAUGCCGCGUGCAGGAUGAAGGCCUUCGGGUUGUAAACUGCUUUGUACGGACGAAAGAACUCCUUCUAAUAAAGGGGUUCAUGACGGUACCGUAAGAAUAAGCACCGGCUAACUACGUGCCAGCAGCCGC